RNAcentral lists this transfer RNA (69 nucleotides) under Gasteruption sp. M19. RNAcentral describes it as "tRNA-Asp". The record is from RNAcentral. Lineage: Eukaryota; Metazoa; Arthropoda; Insecta; Hymenoptera; Gasteruptiidae.
AAAGAAUUAGUUAAUAAAUAAUAUUAAAAUGUCAAUUUAAAGUAAUUAAAAUUAAAUUAAUAUUCUUUU